CAAGACACGAACCGGGACUAAAUCCUCCAAACCCUUUAGUCUCGUGUCGAGACACAAAUCGGGACUAAAGGCUCCUUACGGGCCGUGACCAAAGCCUCGUGCGAUUUGGGACGACGUAGCCGGGCCUUUAGUCCCGGCCCAGAGGCAGGCCGGGACUAAAGGGUUCAGGCCAAAGGCCCUUUUUCUACUAGUGUAAACUACGCAUGUUUAACUAUUUUCGCGGGCACCACGUCGUCAAACUCGCCGUUUUAUUCUCCCGGAACAGUAAUGCUACACAUACGGACAAUUACAGACUGAUUUUGUUUACAUGAUGACAUGGCAACAGGUGAUUGGAGAGAAAAAGAGUGAGGCGGGUCACCCGAUGAAAAAUCAGGAAGGACUGAGAUUAUUUAGGAAAGGUCCGUAAUGACUCCGUAAAAGUCCCGUAGAUCUAGAAUUAUUGCUCCCGGAAUUGCCUCGUAGGCCUUCGUCAAACUUCGCCAACUGGGGUUUGGACUUUUGGAGUGAUGCGACUGGUGUGGCCAUGCAUGGCCCAUGGGAUUGGAAGCUGAGCUGAGAUUGCCCGCCAUCUGACUUUCGCGGCACACGCAGUGACAGAAACUGUACACUUUGACGACCGCUUCCACAAAAAAGAAAAAAAAAAUGUUUUCCUGCAUGGCUGCACAUCUCUCAUGAUCGUCGACCACCUUUGCAAGUUACCCCUAUCGGCUCAAAUGGAAUCAGAUCAUUAGAAAACUAGUAGGCGGAGGCGCGGCCGUCGUGAAGCUUGUUUGGAUGGUUACACAAGGAAAGAAAGCAUGAGUAAGAAAACUGACAGUUGGUAAUGUGUGAGUCAAUUUAACUUCGAAAAAUAUCGAAAGAUAUCAAAAAACAGUUCACCUAUAGUUACAUGUACUUAGCUAUAUAUUUUAAAUGUUUCGGCAAAAGUUGUUCCUAUCAAGAUAGCCGAAGUCUGAAAACUAUCUAAUACAACCAAAAGUUAUACAGAAUGAAGCAUCCUGCGAACCGAAGAAAAUUGCUCCAACAUGAAGAUCACAUUUUAUAGAUAACACCCCACCCUAUAAUAGAUGAAAUUUUAUAUUAAUGAAUGAAGCAAGAUACAGUAGAUGAAAAAAAACAAAAAAAGUGAAUUAAAAAAAUACUCCCUCCUUUCCUAAAUAUAAGUCUUUUAAGCGAUUUCACUAAGGGUCUACAUACGGAACAAAAUGAUUGAAUCUAUAAUCUAAAGUAUGUCUAUAUACAUCCCUAUGUAGUUCACUAGUGAAAUCUCUAUAAAGACUUAUAUUUAGGAACGGAGGGAGUAGAAAGGAUCCACCAAUAGACAAAGCCUACUCUUUUAGGCUCGGUAUAGGUAGCCGAGUUAAAAACCCAACAGUGUUAAUGUUUUAUGUAAUGCAUACAAACAUCAGUUCACAAAACAGCAAAAAAUUGAAUGAAGAUACUCAAGUGAAAAGAUGGAAUCUUUGGCAUUACAGUGCAAUGACGAUUUCUUUAUACAUAAUAUUUUGAGUAAUAUAUGUUGCAACCCGUAAUUCUUAGUUGUGAAAAAAUAGCAUGCAUGAUUGAUCGAAUUAGAGAUGCAUUAUCAGUUAAAUCAAGCCUAACUCUCACAGUUUAAUUGGUAUUAACCUAGAUGCUCUAAGGCACAUAAUUUUCUUUAAUUUUCUUAUCCUAUGAUGUCCUACGGAAAAAGCUGCUAGGUAGUGCAUCAUAAUUAACCUAACUUUAUAUGGAAGGUAGAAUAAGGAAAAACUGCUACCGUUUAUACUACUCACAAUGUUAUAGGGAUUGGGUGUGUGUGCGCAUUUACAUAGGUGAGUGUAACUGUGUUGAUGCUGAUGCUCGCAUUUUUCUGAAUUUAUUCCGGUCUCUCCUGAUAGCGUUAUAUGGGUUGGGUGUGCGGGUGCAUUCAUAGAAGUCAGUGUAUGUGACAUCUACGGUGUACUCUUUUGGCUCCGUUGCUCCCACUUUCCUGGAUUUAUUUAAGCAUCUUUGGUGAUAUUCAUUCAGUACGAGAAGACGUCCCCGUCAACCACGGAAGCAUGUAUGGUGCCUUCAUCGGUUUCAAAAUGUAGUCCCGGCUUAGUAUCUCAAAUGUUUUCAUAUAGAUAGUGUGCUUGCGUGUGUUCAUAAGUCUAUAACGCUGGUGCUCGCGUAUAUGUGUGCACCGGCGUUAUAUUGUGUCAAAAAACAGUAGCAAACACAAAAAGAAAAAUCUAAUAGUGAAUUAAAUAAAAACCAACACGUGUCACGUACAGAAGCACUGAAGGUAGAGUACUUCAAAUGCAUGACAGUGAAGCUAGCUUAGCAACUUCAAUUAUUUACUAUAUACGUUGAAACACUCGCUGUCGAUGGUGGCCAGUUGCGAUACCCACUGCCAGUCCUCGUUGUCGCACACGUCGCUCCUCACGAAAUAGACCCCGGGUUUAGCUCAUUGGGCCAACGGAGCAACAACGACAAGAUCAGAGGAAGAAAGAGAGACAUGGUUAAAGAAAGUUGGGCCGUCACUACGCUUUUGCUGCAACAUGUGCCGAAGGAAGAGAAAUAUCUCUUGAGAACGAUGAAAUGAUUCGUGAAGGGUCAUGCGAAGGGACGGGAGAGGAGGAUAUAUAAAAUGAUGGGUAAGUAACAAACGCAAGUGACGAACCAAUUUGUGGUUAAAUGAUAAGGAGAACAAUGGUAUCCCAACUCAUGAGAGUUCCAGUCGUAGACUUGACAUUGAUGCUUAUAUUUUUAAAUUUAUUCUAGCCCUUCAUGAGAUGUGCAUUCAGUAAGAGGAGACAUUCUCAUCGGCUACGAAGGUGUCUAUAACGACUUCAUCAAUCUUAAGAGAAUGUGUCGGCUCAGUCUUUGAAUUGCGCUUAUAGGAAUAGAAUAUGCGCGUGCGCAUUCAUAGGAAUAGGUAUAUGCAGGGGCGGAGCCAGGAUUUGAACAUGAGGGGGGCGAGGCAAUCAACUGAACUGGGGCUGGAAUUAUCAUCUAUAACAGGUUGCUCCUCUGGUGGAUUUGCAGUUUCAGCUGCAUUAGAGGUAGAAGCAAUAGGCUUGAAAAACGAAUCUAUUUUUGUUGUAUUCUUCUUUCUCUUCAUCCUUCAGUAAGUGGAACAGUAAAUUAAACUAUCUUCAUGAAAACGGCACUAAUUCACCAAGAUUAACAGUGUGUCUGCGACGACGUACCUUGAUUGCGAGUUGAAGUUUUGAUUUGUUGAUGUAUAUAUCAUGGCAUCAUGCCGAUCAGCCGAUGAAGCACGAACUGAACUCUGAAGUUUAGACCACUUCCCUAGUCCCUAUUACGACGGCGACGGAGAACGGGAAGCGACAGGCGACGAAGAAUGAGAAGCGACAGAUGACGGGCAGGCAGGGACGGCCGGCGAUGCAGAACCUGAAGACUCGAAGGAUCAGCGAUUGACAAACUAUUACGUACAGGGGCAUCCUGGUGGCAGCGACAUUGAGGGAUCAGCGAUCCAGACUUCAGAGUCCAGCGGCGCCCUGGCUGCACGUAAUCUAAUCACAUCCAGUUUUUUAGGCUAGAUUGAAGGAUAUAACUGCUUUUCCUUGGCUGUGGC
RNAcentral lists this long non-coding RNA (3565 nucleotides) under Hordeum vulgare. RNAcentral's name for it is "long non-coding RNA (HVUL_LNC008585)". The record is from RNAcentral. Lineage: Eukaryota; Viridiplantae; Streptophyta; Magnoliopsida; Poales; Poaceae.